GACGAGCCACACGAACGUUAUUCGGAAUUACUGGGCUUAAAGGGUGCGUAGGCGGUGCGGAAAGUUGGGUGUGAAAUCCCUCGGCUCAACCGAGGAACUGCGCCCAAAACUACCGUACUCGAGGAAGAUAGAGGUGAGCGGAACUUACGGUGGAGCGGUGAAAUGCGUUGAUAUCGUAAGGAACACCCGUGGCGAAAGCGGCUCACUGGGUCUUUUCUGACGCUGAUGCACGAAAGCUAGGGGAGCAAACGGG
Molecule: ribosomal RNA, 253 nt
Filed under: uncultured bacterium
Lineage: Bacteria
Description: partial 16S ribosomal RNA
Rfam family: Bacterial small subunit ribosomal RNA
Source: RNAcentral